Molecule: long non-coding RNA, 436 nt
Organism: Diorhabda carinulata
Lineage: Eukaryota; Metazoa; Arthropoda; Insecta; Coleoptera; Chrysomelidae
Exons: 3
Source: RefSeq, a predicted model, not a curated record
GCGUUCUGUGGAAAGUGGUGGGAGUUUAAGAGGAAUCUCGUAUUUCUCUUCCAAUCUACUCUUCGUAUUUUGUAUUAUUAAAGUUGUGUUUGUUAGUGGACACAGAAACACUUAUCUGUCGGUGGCUUUUUAUCUUUUACUAACAUUUUUUUCGGUGUUUCAAAAAGUUUUGAUUUCGUUUAAGUGUUUAGUGUUAUACGUUAUUCAUAAUUACUUAUAGUUUAGUGAACUUACUGAGUACUUUGUAGGAAUUAGCAGUUAACAGAAGGAUAUUUUUCUAGUGGAUAUCCACCGAAGAGAUAAGCGCAUCUGGUCUAAUUUGACCGGACUAAUAGAAGGUUUCAAAAGGAAUAUUUUCCUAUUUUGGUUAUAUUUUCCAUUGAUGCCUCAUCGUUUUAACAUUUAACAAGUUUUUAAAUUAUUGUGUGAAUAAAUG